UACGUAGGGUGCGAGCGUUAAUCGGAAUUACUGGGCGUAAAGCGUGCGCAGGCGGUUUUGUAAGUCUGUCGUGAAAUCCCCGGGCUUAACCUGGGAAUUGCGAUGGAGACUGCAAGGCUAGAAUCUGGCAGAGGGGGAUGGAAUUCCGCGUGUAGCAGUGAAAUGCGUAGAUAUGCGGAGGAACACCGAUGGCGAAGGCAAUCCCCUGGGCCUGUACUGACGCUCAUGCACGAAAGCGUGGGGAGCGAAACAAGGAU
RNAcentral lists this ribosomal RNA (257 nucleotides) under uncultured bacterium. RNAcentral's name for it is "partial 16S ribosomal RNA". It matches the Rfam family "Bacterial small subunit ribosomal RNA", at positions 524 to 778 of the family's 1533-position model. The record is from RNAcentral.